RNA transcript from Solanum pennellii, 2371 nucleotides. It is a transcript of the gene named NF-kappa-B-activating protein, with no coding region annotated. The record is from RefSeq and is a predicted model, not a curated record. Lineage: Eukaryota; Viridiplantae; Streptophyta; Magnoliopsida; Solanales; Solanaceae. The transcript has 3 exons.
UCAUACACCUUAUAUUUUACAAUCCCGCCGGCCGCCUUCUUUCAUUUACAAUAACCUAAUUCCCAAAUGGGUAGGCUUUCCUCCGCCGUAGAAAUCCCCGACGACAGGCAUCGAAGCCACCGGAACGGUGACGGCGGCCGGUACUCACCUCAACGGAGCUCGCACUACGACAAUCGACGUCGAUAUCGAAGUCCUAGUCGUAGCCGUAGUCCUAUCAGAAACCGAAACCGAAACCGUAGCCUGAGCCGAAGUGUUAGCGGGAGUCGGAGUCGGAGUCCGGCUUAUAGUCCAUAUAGAGGACAGCAAGCGUCACAUACUAAUGGACGAAACAACCGGCGAUCGUUUUCUCCAGAUCGUUCGUACCGUAGACCAAGCCCUACGAAUGAACCUCCUAGGAGAUUUGGACGGGGGAAGAAACCUUACCUUGAUCGAGAUCAUAAGAGUGGAAGAACUGCAGAUUCUGAUUCGGAUGAAGAGCUUAAAGGCUUGAGUUUUGAAGAGUACCGGAGGCUAAAACGUCAGAAAUUGAGGAAACAGUUGAAGAAUUGUAUUUGGAAUUGCACACCAAGUCCACCUAGGAAAGAAAAUGAGCCGGAAUAUGAAGAACCUGAUGAAAUUGCAGAAAAAAUCGAAGACGAGAUGGUAAAGAAGGAGGAUGGAUCCAAAAAGGAUGUGAAGAGGUCAAAAACUAAGUCUUCCGGAAGUGAGCCCGAUUCCGAAUCUGAAUCAGAUGCAUCGGAUUCUGACUCAGAGGCUUCAGAUUCUGAACCGAGGAAAUCUAGGAAGAGGAAGAAAUCCAGCUCUAAACGUAGGAGUAGGAGAUCGAGAAGGAAGAGUGUGAGUGAAUCGGAGGAAGAGUCUACUGAUGAUUCAUCAUCAGAAGAAGAAAGGAACAAAAGAAGGAAAAAGUCGAGGAGAAAAGAGAGUAGCAGGAGACAUAAAAGGGGUAGUAGUAGCAGGAAGAAAAGAAGCAAAAGGAAAAGCUAUUCAAGCGAGAGUGAGAGUAAAAGCAAGAGCGAAAGCGAAGACGGUGAAAUUGAUGAUUCUGAUGCUAGUAAGAAGCAAAAGAGUGCUUUGAAGAGUAAGAGAAAGAAGGAAGGGGAUAGUGACAUACCAGAGAAGAGCUUCGAGUUGAGUGAUGAUGCUGGAAUUAAUGAGACGAAGGCUGAUGAAGCAAUGAUAGAUGAAGUUAAUGGUGAGGUGCUUGAAUUUAAAGAACUUAUUGAGGCAAGGAAGAGGAGUAAUUUUGAAGAUGAGGCCCCAGUUGGUCCAAUGCCCUUGCCAAGGGCUGAAGGACAUAUCAGCUAUGGUGGGGCACUUAGGCCUGGUGAAGGUGAUGCUAUUGCCCAAUAUGUUCAGCAAGGGAAGCGUAUUCCACGUAGAGGUGAAGUGGGUCUUUCUGCUGAUGAGAUUUCGAAAUUCGAGGGUCUUGGCUAUGUGAUGAGUGGUAGUAGGCAUCAAAGGAUGAAUGCUAUUCGUAUCAGAAAGGAAAACCAAGUUUACAGUGCUGAAGACAAGCGAGCGUUGGCCAUGUUUAACUAUGAGGAGAAGGCUAAGCGUGAGCAGAAGGUUAUGGCAGAUUUGCAGCGCCUUGUGCAACGCCACAUUGGUCAGGAUACUGAAACUUCUCACGAUCCGUUUGGAGGGAAGUCUACAGAAGCAGCUGAUGAUUGAUCCUUUUCACUUGCACUUUCUCAAGAAGCUAGAUGAGGCAGUGAUUGUUUUGGUGAUAUGCUGUUUCAAAUUAUAUUGAUGACUUCGUGACUGGUGUAUUUGAGUGUAUGAUGCCAUUCUGUGUGCUUCUUCAGUUGACUAAAUGCAUGUUCGCGUCUAUUCAGAGUCGGAUCCUCUAACAGUAGUGCAUUCUUGAAGGAUCUGACACAGGUUUGGAAAGACUGAGCACCAUAGCUUUAGGAAACAUUGUGUAACUUUAUUGACACUGAUUGUAACCUGCUGUGGUUUUCAUUAAGUCCAUCUUUAUUCAACAAUGCCACAGUUAAUUGUCUUUGAGCAGCAUGAAGGAGAACCUUGGAGCAAUGAUAAAGUUGUCUCGAUGUGGACCCGUAGGCCUCAUGUUCGAGCUGUGGAAUCAAUCACUGAUGCUUGCGUCAAGGUAAGCUGCAUACAGCACAAUCCCUUGGCAUGCGUCUCUUCCCUUGAACAUGUGUGAACGCGGGAUGCAUAUAGUCAAACAAUCAGAGUAUAUAAUCGAGAUGUAUUUUAGUCAGUAUUGUGAAAGCUUGUUUUAGGCUCCUAAGUUCCGGCUUCAAACCUAUGUGUGCUUUGGUCAUUCGUUUAGCCUAUGUUGCUCCGACUCUUCAAAACUAUUGCCAAGUUCUGUUUCAUGUUCAGAAUUCAUAACAUUCAAGUA